This 72-nucleotide transfer RNA is filed under the name Marmota marmota marmota (Alpine marmot). It matches the Rfam family "tRNA". From Rfam's summary of the family: Transfer RNA (tRNA) molecules are approximately 80 nucleotides in length. Their secondary structure includes four short double-helical elements and three loops (D, anti-codon, and T loops). The record is from Rfam by way of RNAcentral. RNAcentral also lists the same sequence under 1 other name. Lineage: Eukaryota; Metazoa; Chordata; Mammalia; Rodentia; Sciuridae.
GGGGAUGUAGCUCAGUUGUAGAGCACUUGCCUGGCACGCAUGAGGCCCUGAGUUCAAUCCCCAGCAUCACAA